CAGGAAUGGAUGCUGGCGCUGCUGCCUGUGUAGCUUGAGGCACUGCAGGGUUUGCAGGUUGACCAGUCACAGGUGCUACGGGUGCAGCCUCAGCUUGCUCGGGGAUUCCCUGACAUUGAUCACAUCAAAAGAAUGAGAGGAAGCAUGUAUAGGUCCCCUAGCCAGAAGGUUCAAUCUAAAAAAAACAGAACUUCCUCAAGACCUAAGCAUCUUUCACAGCCCUGAUACCAUGACCAAAAAGAAUUUCAUAUAGAAAAACGAAAACAGAACAGAACUGGCCAUACGAGGCCAAGAUUGAGAAUGCUAACCAGGUGUUACCAGCACCUCGAACCAAUUCAGUAAGUAAUAACAUCAUGAAGUUAUCAGUUACUAACUACUUAAAGAUGACUGGAAAAUGGAUAAAGAAAAAGUUUACACAUCACAAAACCCGGUUCCCGUGCACAAUCCAUGUAACAAUAAAUAAAAGAACGAAUACAUCACUCUCAGUGGUUACGUUGUAUGCAAGCAUACAAUAGACGAGCCUUCAAAAGCUAAAUAGUGAUGACAAUGAAUAAAAGAAUGUUAUAAUUAAAUCUGAGCUCAUUAUCCAGCAUCUGCAGAGCAGGAAUGUCCAUUCCCAUAUAGUCUAACGCUGACAUAACUCAAGGAAAACAGCAAGCAAUCCAUAUUAAGACUUGGCAUCAGGUGCAAGGCAGCUAAACCAGCAGUAUCUCUAGAGAAACAUAAUCAAACAUACAAUUAAUUGUCUUCUCGAGGAUGUUAAUCCAGAAGACCAUUUAAAUACUCAAUUUCCCAGCUUAACCAAUUAAAAACUGAUACCAAAUGCAUUGCAUAGGAAUUUAUGGUUUAGAGAAUAUAUGUUGAUAAACAACUUACAGAAUACAGAUAUUCAACAGCUCUUUCUGGAUUGUUGUAAGCAGCACGAAGAGCACGAAUAACAGUUUCUUUAUCCCAGGCACCUCCACCCAUAUCAAUGAUUUGCUGGACUGCUCCCUCCAAGUUAUUUCCAGCUACCAAAUUAGAUGCUGCUUGACCAUAAGGAUCAACAUCAGACCUGAAACAUCAACUGCUUGAUUAAUAUUAAUUAUUAAAACAAAGCAAACACCAAUCUGGAAAGAUGUUAAAGAAGAACCUCAAGAAUCACUCUCCAAUUACAAACACAAUGAAUCAAGAGGAACUAAGAAGAUAUUAAAGCAGCAGCAACAUGGGACAAAUGAAGACCACCCAACCAUGGAAGGAAGUGAACUAAACUGGCAAAAGUACAAAAACUGUAACAUGAAGUAAAGGACAACAGUAAGAUACUAACGCAGUAGCAACUGAAGCGACCGGAGCAGCAAGUGAUGCGGGCGCUGAGACAGGAGCAGGAGCAGCCAAUCUGAAUAAACAAGAUAUUCCAACAAUCAAUCAAUAUAUAUAUUUAAAGUUAAUCAAUAUACUUAUAUUUAGAUUAUGGCAGUUAUCACACUCACGGUGUUGCUGCAGGAGCUUGAGGUGCUGUUGACAAUGGGGCACCAGUCUGAGGUGCUGCUGCUGGUGGAGCACUAGUCUGAGGUGCCUAUGCAAACAACCAUAACCUCAUUAUCCGAACAAUAACCAAUGAGGGAUACCCCCAUCAAAGAAGACCAGCUGAAGUAAACGAAGUUAGGCAAGACAACUUAUGGUGGCACACAUGCAUGUACCAAACUAAAAACCCCAAAACUAACAAAAUGCAAUCGCCAUGCGAGUUUCCAGUAUUACCUUUGCUGUUGAACCUUCUCCAGAUGCGCUUUUGCUCUACAGUUGUCAAAGCAAAUCACAGCAUUAAGAAAAUUAAACCACAAGUCUAGGAACACCACAAAAAGAACCACAAGAAAAAUAAAAUACCAAAAAAUAUGCUUGAUUUCACCUUCGUUAGCAUGACAACAAUAAAGCCAUUUUCCUCAACUUUAUUCUCCUCGAGAGUUGUGUUAUCUUUAAGAACCUUCCCCUGAUAGAUAAGCAUCUGCUGUCCAGCUGGGUAAACAUCUGAACCCUGUGCAGUUUCUAUGUGGUUUUUUACAUCAGUAACCUACAUUCAGCAACUAAAAAAUUAGGAUCGUGACAACCAUUACUAGGUGAUUUCAAUAAAAAAUACAGGAAAUUUCUGAAAAGUAUCGACAAGAAGUAUGCAAUUCAAGUUCACAGCUUUGAUUCUCCUCUCUCCGCGAAAUUUAACUCUAGAAGCAAAGGAAAACAAUAAGAAAUUGCAUGUCAAUGGACGUUGUCAUCAGUAAUGUACUACAGCAUGUAGGAAGAUUCUUGGGACGACAAAUUAUUUACGCAGUAGAGGACACUAGGUCAAAAGACCAAUAAAACAUAGUCCAUUGGUUCGAGAGAAUGACGAGCUAAAUGGAAGCUAUUACACAAACGCUUCUUCUUCUUUCCACGAUCAUUCCUUCUAAAUACCGAAGAACCGGACAUUUUGUCUUACCAUGAUAGGUAGAUAUUGUUCGGACUAUUAACGCUGAUCCCAAUCAUAAGCCAUAUUGCAACAUGAUCUAAUUUUUCGCUUUAGAUAUGAUCAAGGGAAGCUCUAUCCUCUCAACUUAUAGGCAACAAGAUCAGUGUUCCAUCUCAAAGAAACAAACAAGACCCGCAUGACGAUAUACGAAAUUCAGAGCCUAAUCCAGUAUCCCACACAAUGGUGCAGCAAGGUACGAUCACUAACUUCGCAAGAGCAGGAGAAAAGCAAAACACAGCCCAUGAAUCAGCAUAACUAGUUCAACUAACCUCUAAUUUCCACAGUCAAUCUAAGAAAAACAAUCCAAUCAUGUACGCCAAAACACAGCCCAUGAAUCAGAAAUCCCCCAAACACAGCUGAAUUUCGAGCUAGAGCAACCUAUUUGAAUUGCAGUAACAUUCGAUUGAAAUAUGAACAAUCAUCAGUCAUUCCUUGGAUUCCUAGACUGAAAUUCAACUUUCAGAAGCUAAAUACACAACAGAAGGAACCCUAAACAACAAACAAACUGCGGUUUACCGUGUCUUGGGGUUUGACUUCGAUUUCGAACUUACUGCCCUUCAAAGUCUUCACGGAAAUCUUCAUCGUGCUUGGUCGUCGUCGUCGUCGCAGCAGCCGCGAUAACUUAUUCCUUGCUCUGCGUGCUGCUUCUUCGUUUGUCAGAGACCUCCGAUCUCCGUCACAAACACCGCAAACUCCCGAUUUCACUAGCAGCUCUUUGUGCCCUCCGCGAUUGCCAAAAGGGUUUUUAUAUAUCUUUACGACUCCAAAGGCACAUAAUCGCAAGUAAGGAAUAACGGAGGGCAUUUUCGCCAAAUCAACAAGUUACUGAUUUCAGUUUCUGGGUGGAUAAAGAAGAGGCUAAGUACACAAAUGAUCACUAAAGUUAGGGGCUGCUAACAGUCACAGAACGCUUGAUAAACUUCACACAUAAGUCAUAACAUAACACUAAUCAACAAAAUUUAAACGAAUUAAAGAACUAAUCAACGUGCAAACAUUAAACUACUUACCGGAAUCUAUUUGCUUUCACACAAACUAGUUUUCACUAACUGGAAGGGAACCUUUAAAAAAACUAUAUUGAGGAUCGAUAAUGUGAUAGUUCUAUUAUUACCCUCAUAGAUAGUUAGAAACAGUUAUGUCUGUAACGAUAAGUAGAGAUUAGAGAUGCCACUGUGAUAUUGUUUAGCUGCAGUCAUCUGAAGUGGAUAAUAGUGACAAAAUCGCUUUCGUCUAGUCCAAUACUUAUUUAGAUUUUGAGGAAUGCUUUUACCAAGAUAAAAGUUGGAAUCUAUAUGCAAAGUUUAAAACAAACUCUAAUUUUAUUGUCAAUGGUAGUCGAGAGUCACGUUCGAACUUAGCUCGUGAAGGAUUGUUAACGAUCCCAGUCACCAACUAUGUGUUUGAACUCCUCGAGCUUGCAUAAUGUUGAAGUGACAUAUUGAGAGGCAAGGUAAUCAAAUCUCUACUCAACUCAAAGUCACACAGCUUAAAUUCAGCUAUUCCGCCACAAAAGGCUUAAUUUGGCGAACAAGUAGUACAUACCGAAGUGAGAAGCACCGAAUAUGCGUAUGUUUAAUCAUAUGUGGCCUAAGCUUCCUCCUCGCACCUAAUCUAAGGCCAGAUCAGUCUAGUUGUUGUAUUUAUUAAAGCCAAAUGCUGAUGGGGCAGCAGACAAACCUACCCCUCCACAUGCUGGACGGUUAGGUAAGGAAAUGAAUUCAACAACUUAACAAGAACUAAUAACAGAGGUUGUACAUUAUAAAUCAUUAUUACGUGCACGUAGCUGUUAAAUUUUCCUUCACUAACGUUACAGUCCUGCGACGAAAGCAGACGUGAGAUCCAGAGAAGAAACGUCAUGCGACUACAUAACAUGAUAAUACAACUCGGUCAUAUUGUUUUUAAAUUGUCAUUCACAGAUAUAUCCGGGAACUAAGAAGAAGAAGAAAAACUAUGAAUAAAACAGAGAGGCUGAUGAUUUUCCAAUCUAAAAUCAUUCCUCAAAAUCGUUCAUGUGAUCUAAGAGAUAGUUGGCAGCCAGUUCUUCGUUCUUGUUGCAUGCAAAGAACACUUCCAACACUAUUUGUGGAUCAAACCCCAUUGCUUCAAGCUGCACCCACAGUAGGCUCACAGAUUAAUAAGGAGUUGAAGCAGACAUAGUUGUUUUUCAUGCUAAAGUAAUAUUUUUUAUUUUAUACUUACUCGGCCCAGUGCUUCGCGCUCUUCGGGAGUCACUUGCACCGCCUGCGGCAUUGCAGCAGCAAGCUGCCCCAAUAUGCCCCUGUAUAAAAUAGCUUGAGGGAUUCAGUACAUAGACAUGAUCAAUUCGUUCAACAACAACCAAACCAGCAGAGACAGAUACUUACUCCUCACCACCCUCGACAGGUUCAUUUAUUAGGCGAAGAAAGUCCGUCUGGUGCUCCUGAAUUAGUCUCAUCAGUUGGGGAUUCUGCUUUCCUAAUUCUUGAAGCAUGGGCUGGAAAAUUAAACAGCAAAUUAAUUAGUGGUGCAUAUUCAGAACAAAAGAGACUUCAAAUUUUGAUAACGUAUCUGGAAAAGUUAGUAGCACCUGCAAUAUCUGUGGGUUAGCCUGCACCAUAGCUCGCAAGGCUUGGAACUGGUGAUAUAAUACAGUUACAAAUCAGAGAUCAAUAACAAAUGAGAAGAACUAUUAUUCAGGAAAGACGAAAUCACCUGUUGACUGUUUCUCAAGAAGUCUAGGUUUCCUGCACCGGCACCACCUGCUGCUCCAGCAGUAGGAAGGCCCUUCAGCAGAGAAAAAAGCACUAGUCAUUUCCAAACUAUACUAGCUACCGAUACUUUGUUAUUUGAUUGGCAGGCAUCAGUAUUCCAGGCUACCUGAGGGAAAAGAUCCAGAGGAUUCGCAUUGGGUCCUGCAGGAGGAAUGGCAAUUGGCGCUGCUGCUUGUGUAGCUUGAGCCACUGCAGGGUUUGCAGGUUGACCAGUCACAGGUGCUUGUACAGGUGCAGUCUCAGCUUGCUCAGGGAUCCCCUGACAAUGGUUACAUAAGAAAUUCAAGACAAAAGAACCUAACAGAAAGCAAUAUACUGACUACUUAAAGAUGAAUGGACGCAUGCAUAGUAAAGAGAAGUUUGAACAUCACAGAACCCAGUUCCUAUGUACAAUCUGUGUAACAAAAUUACCAAAUGAAUCCAUCAGUCUUGGUGGUUAAGGGGUAUAGAAGAGCCCUCAAAAGCUAAAGAGUGAUGACAAUAGAUCAAAAAGAAUA
Molecule: long non-coding RNA, 5723 nt
Filed under: Linum usitatissimum (flax)
Lineage: Eukaryota; Viridiplantae; Streptophyta; Magnoliopsida; Malpighiales; Linaceae
Description: long non-coding RNA (LUSI_LNC005086)
Source: RNAcentral